AUUGAACGCUGGCGGCAGGCCUAACACAUGCAAGUCGAGCGGCAGCGGGUCCUUCGGGAUGCCGGCGAGCGGCGGACGGGUGAGUAAUGCCUAGGAAUCUGCCUGGUAGUGGGGGAUAACGUUCGGAAACGGACGCUAAUACCGCAUACGUCCUACGGGAGAAAGUGGGGGAUCUUCGGACCUCACGCUAUCAGAUGAGCCUAGGUCGGAUUAGCUAGUUGGUGGGGUAAAGGCUCACCAAGGCGACGAUCCGUAACUGGUCUGAGAGGAUGAUCAGUCACACUGGAACUGAGACACGGUCCAGACUCCUACGGGAGGCAGCAGUGGGGAAUAUUGGACAAUGGGCGAAAGCCUGAUCCAGCCAUGCCGCGUGUGUGAAGAAGGUCUUCGGAUUGUAAAGCACUUUAAGUUGGGAGGAAGGGCAGUAAGUUAAUACCUUGCUGUUUUGACGUUACCAACAGAAUAAGCACCGGCUAACUUCGUGCCAGCCGCCGCCGUAA
RNAcentral lists this ribosomal RNA (500 nucleotides) under uncultured bacterium. RNAcentral's name for it is "partial 16S ribosomal RNA". It matches the Rfam family "Bacterial small subunit ribosomal RNA", at positions 30 to 523 of the family's 1533-position model. The record is from RNAcentral.